AGAAAACACCUGCAGGACCCAUAGAAGAACUUGGAAGGAGUGCACAGCUGAAAUCAUCGAAUGAAAACCAAUCAGAGCUUAUAUCUGCAGUUUGCAGUCAUGAUGCUGAGCCGUUCAAACAGUUUGGGUAUUCACAUGGACUGAGCGAAGAAUUGCAUUUGUGCAAUCACAUUUCUGCAACACAAUUUCCAAACCAAGAAAUAAAUCCCCAGUCUACUUCCUGUGCAGUACAUAAGAACGAACCUGUUACCUUUUAUGAUUGUCUUUGCUGUUUCGUUCCACAUAAAAGACAAGACUGUUUAAUUUGUACAAGAAUUCCAUAUUCAUUGAUUCCUGAAAAUGUUGU
This is a long non-coding RNA of Saccostrea cuccullata (small rock oyster), 346 nucleotides long. RefSeq lists it as uncharacterized. The transcript has 3 exons. Lineage: Eukaryota; Metazoa; Mollusca; Bivalvia; Ostreida; Ostreidae. The record is from RefSeq and is a predicted model, not a curated record.